Poecilia latipinna (sailfin molly) is the source of this 1619-nucleotide long non-coding RNA. RefSeq lists it as uncharacterized. NCBI's taxonomy places the organism in Eukaryota, Metazoa, Chordata, Actinopteri, Cyprinodontiformes, Poeciliidae. The transcript is spliced from 3 exons. The record is from RefSeq and is a predicted model, not a curated record.
CACUGCCUUCAGACUGAUGUCUGAAGGCAGUGAACAUAAGAGACAUAUAACCAGCUUAUGUAAAAUAUUUGUACAAGCUAACGUUAGUCAUAUGAAUGCUGCACAGCUAUUGGCUAACUGUUAGCUCCAUCUUGAUUCCUGCAUAAUUUGUGCAAUAAUUAUUUAUUAUGCUGAAAAUAAAAUCGUGGUCUUCCAAAAAUAAUGUCCUAAGUAAUAUUUUUACCCAAAGUGAUUUUGGCAAAAAGGAAAAAAAUAAAAAUCACCAAGACUUUUUUCUCUGCCAAAAGAUGAAUUGUGAAAACAACAACAAAUCAACCAAGUGAGGGAUUGGUGACCUGUCCAGUGUGUCCCCUGCCUCUUGCUCCUGACCACUGGAGAAGGGCAGGACCCUUUCAACCUGAAGUCUGAUAGAUAAAGUAUGAAUGGAUCAAGAGUGAGAUUCUGUCUGCAUCUUGAGAGGAACUGCUUUAGAGCCUACCACAAAAAAUGAAAACGCCUGAAAUAAUUUAAUAAAAAACAGGCAUUAAAACUUGUAAAUUGGAGGCCAGGCUUCACAGUUUUCUCAGCAUUUAUGUAAUGUAGUUGAAAGUUGAAAUUGUUCAUCUGAAAUUGUUUGCCCCUGUCAUCAGAAAGUUUUUGUUCAGCAAUAAACCUGAAAAUUUCAAUUCCGAUUUUUGUUUUUUUUCUCUUUAAACUGUUUAUACUCAAUUUUUAAUAGACAGAAAUGUUAAAUAACUAUUGAAUACUGAAAGCUGAGGUUGUUCUGGAAAAAAGAGCAAAAAUUCAGACUAAUUGCACAUUUUUUGAGAAUUUUACAGCCAUAAAAUCAGAAAAAUACCAGGCGCCCCAGUUACAAUUAUGGUCUUAAGAGGGUUAAACAGCUCAAAAUCAAAACAGUAAGGGACAACUCAGGUGGUAAAAAAAAUCAAAAUAGGCAAUGUUAAUAACCCAUAACGUGACAGCUAGACACAGAAUCAUCACAAAAGUAUUUCUCCCCUUACAGAUUUCUUCAUAAAAAAUUUAAAUAUCCCAGUAGUUUUUUGUUGAGUUUUAAUAGCCAAACAGGCCUGAUGAGGUAGAACCUGCCUGACAGCGUAAAGUUGGCUAAGAUCUAAAAAAGCAACACAACAUGUACAAAAAAAAAAUCUAAGAACAGAUGAGAAUAAAGUCAUCAACAUUUAUUCGUCUGGAAAAACAAUAAAUCGGCCCCAAUUUCCUAGAUUUUGGAUGAUUGCUGAUUGGCCAAUAACAUGAGAGACCAAUAUUAUCCAUGGAUCUUAUCCACUGCUGCAUGAUCUGAAACUCAGCCACUUUAGCUCUGCAGUGAGACGGAGCCGCCUGACAGAUCCGCCACCAGGUCACAUCUACAUGUGAAACCUUUCAGGCAAAAAAAAAGAUGAUAUCGGCAAAAUCAGCAUCACCAGGUGAGUCUUUUAGAGAUGGGUGAUCGCUCAGAAAGCUGCUAUGGAUGCACUCCACGUUAAAAAGUUACAAAGAUGUAUUUACUCCAUCAGCCCCACAUGCAAAACUCUGCAGGCCUCACUUGGUCAUGGUUCACCAAAAAACAUCUUGAGCUGAAGACGUUUGGGAAAAUAAACUGUGGAGCAGAAAGCCAAACU